AGUGAACGCUGGCGGUAGGCCUAACACAUGCAAGUCGAACGGCAGCACAGUAAGAGCUUGCUCUUACGGGUGGCGAGUGGCGGACGGGUGAGGAAUACAUCGGAAUCUACUUUUUCGUGGGGGAUAACGUAGGGAAACUUACGCUAAUACCGCAUACGACCUACGGGUGAAAGCAGGGGAUCUUCGGACCUUGCGCGAUUGAAUGAGCCGAUGUCGGAUUAGCUAGUUGGCGGGGUAAAGGCCCACCAAGGCGACGAUCCGUAGCUGGUCUGAGAGGAUGAUCAGCCACACUGGAACUGAGACACGGUCCAGACUCCUACGGGAGGCAGCAGUGGGGAAUAUUGGACAAUGGGCGCAAGCCUGAUCCAGCCAUACCGCGUGGCGAAGAAGGCCUUCGGGUUGUAAAGCCCUUUUGUUGGGAAAGAAAAGCAGCAGGUUAAUACCCCGCUGUUCUGACGGUACCCAAAGAAUAAGCACCGGCUAACUUCGUG
This 491-nucleotide ribosomal RNA is filed under the name uncultured bacterium. Its description in RNAcentral is "partial 16S ribosomal RNA". It matches the Rfam family "Bacterial small subunit ribosomal RNA", at positions 29 to 507 of the family's 1533-position model. The record is from RNAcentral.